Molecule: long non-coding RNA, 1180 nt
Organism: Astyanax mexicanus (Mexican tetra)
Lineage: Eukaryota; Metazoa; Chordata; Actinopteri; Characiformes; Acestrorhamphidae
Exons: 3
Source: RefSeq, a predicted model, not a curated record
UGAAGUUUGGAGGUGUGUAGUGAUGAACUCUGAAGCUACAUGAAGUUUGGAGGUGUGUAGUGAUGAACUCUGAAGCUACAUGAAGUUUGGAGGUGUGUAGUGAUGAACUCUGAAGCUACAUGAAGUUUGGAGGUGUGUAGUGAUGAACUCUGAAGCUACAUGAAGUUUGGAGGUGUGUAGUGAUGAACUCUGAAGCUACAUGAAGUUUGGAGGUGUGUAGUGAUGAACUCUGAAGCUACAUGUAGUUUGGAGGUGUGUAGUGAUGAACUCUGAAGCUAAACAUGAAGUUUGGAGGUGUGUAGUGAUGAACUCUGAAGCUACAUGAAGUUUGGAGGAGUGUAGUGAUGAACUCUGAAGCUACAUGAAGUUUGGAGGUGUGUGGUGAUGAACUCUGAAGCUACAUGAAGUUUGGAGGUGUGUAGUGAUGAACUCUGAAGCUACAUGAAGUUUGGAGGUGUGUAGUGAUGAACUCUGAAGCUACAUGAAGUUUGGAGGUGUGUAGUGAUGAACUCUGAAGGUACAUGAAGUUUGGAGGUGUGUAGUGAUGAACUCUGAAGCUACAUGAAGUUUGGAGGUGUGUAGUGAUGAACUCUGAAGCUACAUGAAGUUUGGAGGUGUGUAGUGAUGAACUCUGAAGGUACAUGAAGUUUGGAGGUGUGUAGUGAUGAACUCUGAAGGUACAUGAAGUUUGGAGGUGUGUAGUGAUGAACUCUGAAGGUACAUGAAGUUUGGAGGUGUGUAGUGAUGAACUCUGAAGGUACAUGAAGUUUGGAGGUGUGUUGUGAUGAACUCUGAAGCUACAUGAAGUUUGGAGGUGUGUAGUGAUGAACUCUGAAGGUACAUGAAGUUUGGAGGUGUGUAGUGAUGAACUCUGAAGGUACAUGAAGUUUGGAGGUGUGUAGUGAUGAACUCUGAAGGUACAUGAAGUUUGGAGGUGUGUAGUGAUGAACUCUGAAGGUACAUGAAGUUUGGAGGUGUGUAGUGAUGAACUCUGAAGGUACAUGAAGUUUGGAGGUGUGUAGUGAUGAACUCUGAAGGUACAUGAAGUUUGGAGGUGUGUUGUGAUGAACUCUGAAGCUACAUGAAGUUUGGAGGUGUGUAGUGAUGAACUCUGAAGGUACAUGAAGUUUGGAGGUGUGUAGUGAUGAACUCUGAAGGUACAUGAAGUUUGGAGGUGUGU